Molecule: long non-coding RNA, 578 nt
Filed under: Prunus persica (peach)
Lineage: Eukaryota; Viridiplantae; Streptophyta; Magnoliopsida; Rosales; Rosaceae
Description: long non-coding RNA (PPER_LNC007579)
Source: RNAcentral
AAAAACGUGGCCUUUGCAAGAACAUCAAUCGAUCAUAAAUCUAAUGAUACCGAGUUGAUUUCUAAUGUUCUUUUCAACGAUACCUUUCUUCUUUUUUGUUUUUCUUUUUUUACACAUUUUGCACGACAUGAUUUAUUUGUUGUUUUUAUCGUGAAAGUGGAAAUUUGCACGACAUGAUUUAUUUCUUGUUUUUAUCGUGAAAGUGGAAAUUUAUAACCAUCGGCGGACCUAUUAAGGCGCAAGGACUGCAUCUCCUCUGGCCAAAAAAAUCAUUGUAGGUGCUUCAGAUUGCCCCUUUGCUUAACUGGUGUACAGAUCACCUUAUUUUCAUUUUCAACAUUUAAGUAAAUGUCUUUGUCCUUUUACUUUUAUUUAUUUUUAUAUUACUCCAUUUACUUAAGUUUACAAUGUAAAUAAGGAACUACCCCCCAUUUGGAUUCAAAUAAAAAUACUAGAAAAUCAAAUUCCCACCAAAUCAAAAUACGCAAAUUCGGUUUUAGUGCAAAAUAAGAUUUAGGCUAAAAAUGAUGGCUCAUUAAGUCAAGAUAUACUUCAUACUAAAAUCCCAUAAAAUCAAG